CGCGCCGCGGACCCCGUCGUUAACCUAGCGAACCACUUCCAAGUCUUGAGUGAUAAAAGGCGUCUCCGCAGGACCUAUAUUUCUAAUAAACUGUCAAAUGUGUAAUUUGGAAAACAUCUUAAGUGAAUGUGGAUGUCAGCUUUCACCUGGCUCAUCCUUAAUAAAGGAGGGAAUUGUUGCUUUGGAAGAAAAAAAACAAGACGCGGAACUAAGGGGCUUAAUAAACUUUCGACAGAAAGGCAGGAAUUCGGUACAAAGGCAGAUUUGAUUUAACGGAUUUAAUGGGUCGACAAAACGGUCUGGAAAGCCUGAAUAACCGGGCAUCGCGAAGUUUCUAGAAAUAGGGUGGACUCGCAAAACGUCCAUGUUUCUACCUGUUAAAACCUUUUCAGGGAGAUUCUGUCUAACAGGACUUCGAAAAUCCCGUAAUCUAUUAUUAUUAUUAUUAUUAUCAAGACCGAAACGUAAAGGAACUGACCACUCAACGACAGUAUGAGACCUUCGUUAAUGUUUCGUCAUCUGCCUUUAAGGAGAUGCAGGACUAAAGCUUUCAGAAGUCAGAUGAGAUUAAUGUAUGGAGAUGAACAGUCUAGGACCACUCAGUAUAUUAGCAUGCAUAAAUUACGAUCAUUUACAACCAACUGUUGCAGAUGGAUCUCCCUAGACGUUGAAUGGAAUUUGUAUUUGCAACCAUCCCUGUAUGAAUAGGUGAACUCCCAAACUGUCCUCAUUGAUGGGUGUUAAUCAAAAGGUGGAAAAUGUGACUUCAGCAGAAGAAAAACUGUCUGAUAAAGUGUCAUUCCUCUUCUGUUCAUAAUAAACUGGCUUUUUAGUCCAAACUAA
Long non-coding RNA from Lepisosteus oculatus (spotted gar), 843 nucleotides. RefSeq lists it as uncharacterized. The record is from RefSeq and is a predicted model, not a curated record. Lineage: Eukaryota; Metazoa; Chordata; Actinopteri; Semionotiformes; Lepisosteidae.